Molecule: ribosomal RNA, 391 nt
Filed under: uncultured soil bacterium
Lineage: Bacteria
Description: bacterial SSU rRNA
Rfam family: Bacterial small subunit ribosomal RNA
Source: RNAcentral
AGAGUGAACGCUGGCGGUAGGCCUAACACAUGCAAGUCGAACGGCAGCACAGUGGUAGCAAUACCAUGGGUGGCGAGUGGCGGACGGGUGAGGAAUACAUCGGAAUCUACCUUUUCGUGGGGGAUAACGUAGGGAAACUUACGCUAAUACCGCAUACGCCCUUCGGGGGAAAGCCGGGGAUCGCAAGACCUGGCGCGGAUAGAUGAGCCGAUGUCGGAUUAGCUAGUUGGUGAGGUAAUGGCUCACCAAGGCGACGAUCCGUAGCUGGUCUGAGAGGAUGAUCAGCCACAUUGGAACUGAGACACGGUCCAGACUCCGUAGGGAGGCGGCAGGUGGGGAAUAGUUGGAACUAAGUGGGCACAAGCCUGACUCCAGCCAUACCGCGGUGGGU